GAUGAACGCUAGCUACAGGCUUAACACAUGCAAGUCGCAGGGUAACAUGAGGAAAGCUUGCUUUCCUUGAUGACGACUGGCGCACGGGUGAGUAACGCGUAUCCAACCUUCCCAUAACUACGGGAUAACCCGUUGAAAGACGGCCUAAUACCGUAUGAUAUCGUUUGCUGACAUCAAAUAACGAUUAAAGGUUUAGCGGUUAUGGAUGGGGAUGCGUCUGAUUAGCUUGUUGGCGGGGUAACGGCCCACCAAGGCGACGAUCAGUAGGGGUUCUGAGAGGAAGGUACACCACAUUGGAACUGAGACACGAUCCAAACUCGUACGGGAGGAAGCAGUGAGGAAUAUUAGGCAAUGGGCGAGAGCCUGAACCAGCCAAGUAGCGUGCAGGACGACGGCCCUAGGGGUUGUAAGCUGCUUUUAUGUGGGGAUAAAGUGCGUGACGUGUCAUGCAUUGCAGGUACCAAAUGAAUAAGGACCGGCUAAUUCCGUG
This 490-nucleotide ribosomal RNA is filed under the name uncultured bacterium. RNAcentral's name for it is "partial 16S ribosomal RNA". It matches the Rfam family "Bacterial small subunit ribosomal RNA", at positions 28 to 507 of the family's 1533-position model. The record is from RNAcentral.